This is a long non-coding RNA of Oncorhynchus tshawytscha (Chinook salmon), 1189 nucleotides long. The record is from Ensembl. NCBI's taxonomy places the organism in Eukaryota, Metazoa, Chordata, Actinopteri, Salmoniformes, Salmonidae.
UGGGGAGGCUCGGGCAAGUAGCUGCGAGGGGUGCGGAGCUAUUGGCCGGGGUUGGGGUAGCCAGGAGGAAAGCAUGGCCAGCCGUAGAGAAAUGCUUAUUGAAACUUUUGAUUAUCAUGGAUUUAUCGGUGGUGACCGUGUCGCCUAGCCUCAGUGCAGUGGGCAGCUGGGAGGAAGUGCUCUUGUUCUCCAUGGACUUUACAGUGUCCCAAAACUUUUGGAGUUAGAGCCACAGGAUGCAAAUUUCUGUUUGAAAAAGCUAGCCUUUGCUUACACACUGACUGUGUGUAUUGGUUCCUGACGUCCCUGAACAAUUGCAUAUUGAGGGGACUACUCGAUGCUCUAUUGCAGUCCGCCACAGGAUGUUUUUGUGCUGGUAAAGGGCAGUCAGGUCUGGAGUGAACCAAGGGCUAUACCUGUUUUUUAUUUUUUUUAUUUUUUUUUUGGAGGGUGGAUCAGCUUAAUAUUGUGGAAAGAAUGUUGCUUCCAAUGUAAUUGUCUGCAUCAUUCCCAAUCUCCCAUAUUGUUUUGGUAAAUAUAUAUAUCCAUACAAGCAUGCAUAUAUAUACACAUACAUAUAUAGACAUACAUACUUUUUAAAAUAAUAUACCUUUAUUAUUAUUCCCCGCAAACCCUACUGCCGAUCCCCCCAAUUGAAGUAAACUAAUAAACUAUUAUGCUUCUACCUUCAAUCCAUACAUCUUAUACACAUUCUACAGAUACAGUCUACUUUACAAUAGUUCUCUCGUGUUUGUUCUUAGUCCUUGCUCUAUUUCUGAUGUCCAUCCAGUUUGAUUUAUAUUUGUAACUGUUCAAUUUCACAAAAGUUCUGAACAUAUAUACAUUUUACAGACCCCGUAUGUUUUACAUUGGUUAUCUUGUUAUUAGUCCCACCCUUCAGCUCCAUUCAACCCCUCCCAUCUGUCUCUUAACAUCAUCCAGUCCCACCCUUCAGCUCCAUUCAACCCCUCCCAUCUGUCUCUUAACAUCAUCCAGUCCCACCCUUCAGCUCCAUUCAACCCCUCCCAUCUGUCUCUUAACAUCAUCCAGUCCCACCCUUCAGCUCCAUUCAACCCCUCCCAUCUGUCUCUCAACACCAUCCAGUCCCACCCUUCAGCUCCAUUCAACCCCUCCCAUCUGUCUCUCAACACCAUCCAGUCCCACCCUUCAGCUCCAUUCAACCCCUCCC